GACAUUUUUGAAAGAAACUGGGCCUGUUGAAAGGCCCAUUACUGUUACAUCUGAUUCUGAUAGACCUACCCGCUUCUUCUCGGUCUGGCGCUUUUCUUCUUCUUUCCCCCGCUUCUCCGUUCUUCAACCUCCACGGAUCCUCGCACGGCUGAUCACAUUGAAGACGCAGAAAAAUGGGAAUUAUUGAAAGAAUUAAAGAAAUCGAGGCCGAGAUGGCUCGGACUCAGAAAAAUAAGGCCACGGAAUAUCAUCUUGGUCAGCUCAAGGCAAAGAUAGCAAAGUUGAGGACGCAGUUGUUAGAGCCUCCAAAAGGUUCAAGUGGAGGUGGAGAGGGUUUUGAAGUUACAAAAUAUGGCCACGGGCGUGUUGCACUCAUAGGAUUUCCAAGUGUGGGGAAGUCCACACUUUUAACAAUGUUGACAGGCACUCAAUCGGAAGCUGCCUCCUAUGAGUUUACAACGCUGACUUGCAUCCCUGGGAUCAUACACUACAAUGAUACCAAAAUUCAGCUGCUUGAUCUUCCUGGAAUUAUUGAAGGUGCGUCUGAAGGAAAGGGGCGUGGUAGACAGGUUAUUGCUGUUUCCAAGUCUUCAGACUUAGUCUUGAUGGUUCUUGAUGCCUCAAAAAGUGAGGGCCAUCGCCAGAUUCUAACAAGAGAGUUGGAAGCAGUAGGUUUGCGUUUGAACAAGAGACCACCUCAAAUAUAUUUCAAGAAGAAAAAAACUGGUGGUAUUUCAUUUAAUAGUACCCUUCCUUUAACUCAUGUUGACGAGAAGCUGUGCUAUCAAAUUCUACACGAGUACAAAAUUCACAAUGCAGAGGUACUCUUUCGAGAGGAUGCCACGGUUGAUGAUCUUAUUGAUGUAAUUGAGGGGAACCGCAAGUACAUGAAGUGUGUAUAUGUCUACAACAAGAUUGAUGUAGUUGGUAUCGACGACGUAGACAAGUUAGCCCGUCAGCCCAAUUCAGUUGUCAUUAGUUGUAAUCUCAAGUUGAACUUAGACAGACUACUAUCUCGGAUGUGGGAGGAGAUGGGCCUUGUUAGGGUUUAUACCAAGCCUCAAGGGCAGCAACCUGAUUUCUCAGAUCCAGUUGUUCUUUCUGCUGAUAGAGGUGGCUGUACAGUGGAGGAUUUCUGCAAUCAUAUCCACAGGAGUUUGGUUAAAGAUGUCAAAUACGUGCUUGUAUGGGGUACAAGUGCCAGGCAUUAUCCCCAGCAUUGUGGCCUUGGUCAUGUUCUUAAUGACGAGGAUGUGGUUCAGAUUGUUAAGAAAAAGGAAAAGGAAGAGGGAGGAAGAGGUCGUUUCAAGUCGCAUACAACUGGUCCAGCUCGAAUAUCCGACAGAGAAAAGAAGGCUCCUUUAAAGACAUAAUUACAGCAUGUGAUGAUAAGUUAAUCUGGAGUGGAGUGUUUGUUUGAAGCUUGAUGCAGAGCUCUACUAUUCGCUGAAGAUGUGUGACAUAUCCGUUUGGUCCUCUUACUUUUGUUUGAAAGAACUGCCUUCCGUGUCUGCUCAAUGGUCGUCUUCAGUUGGCGUCGGCUGUGAAGUUUUUAUGUUCUCCAACUUUGGUUUCUUUUCUGGAGGUUUUAAGUGUUUGGUUUUUGGUCUAUUCUCUUUGUAUUGGAAUAUUAUUGUCUACUUUUGUUUUUCUCAGUUUCUCUUUCCUUUUUUUUUUUUUUUAAGGUUAUUAUAUUUUUAGCAUUAGUCUCUUUUUCGUUGAAAAAGUAUGGUUCCUCUACCAAUUAUAUAUAUAUAUAUAGUGAUAUAAGAAAUUAACCA
Cucumis melo (muskmelon) is the source of this 1781-nucleotide RNA transcript. It is a transcript of the gene named developmentally-regulated G-protein 2, with no coding region annotated. The record is from RefSeq and is a predicted model, not a curated record. The transcript has 13 exons. NCBI's taxonomy places the organism in Eukaryota, Viridiplantae, Streptophyta, Magnoliopsida, Cucurbitales, Cucurbitaceae.